CUCGGCAACGGAUAUCUCGGCUCUCGCAUCGAUGAAGAACGUAGCGAAAUGCGAUACUUGGUGUGAAUUGCAGAAUCCCGUGAACCAUCGAGUCUUUGAAUGCAAGUUGCGCCCGAAGCCAUUAGGCUGAGGGCACGUCUGCCUGGGCGUCACGC
Molecule: ribosomal RNA, 155 nt
Filed under: Origanum majorana
Lineage: Eukaryota; Viridiplantae; Streptophyta; Magnoliopsida; Lamiales; Lamiaceae
Description: 5.8S ribosomal RNA
Rfam family: 5.8S ribosomal RNA
About the family: 5.8S ribosomal RNA (5.8S rRNA) is a component of the large subunit of the eukaryotic ribosome. It is transcribed by RNA polymerase I as part of the 45S precursor that also contains 18S and 28S rRNA. Functionally, it is thought that 5.8S rRNA may be involved in ribosome translocation.
Source: RNAcentral